Molecule: long non-coding RNA, 861 nt
Filed under: Homo sapiens (human)
Lineage: Eukaryota; Metazoa; Chordata; Mammalia; Primates; Hominidae
Description: HSALNT0158653
Source: RNAcentral
AUUUGACGUUUGUUUUGGGCUAUUUCCCAGCUUCCUUAAGCUAUUCCCUUCCUUAUUCAGCGAUAAAGUAGAGCUGACUCCGUGUGAAUAAAUUCUGUCACUGACAAUUGUUUUCUUAAUCAAUUUCAGGAGUUACCGAAUCAGAAUUGGAUGAACCGGACUACCCACCAGGGACAGUUACUUGUCUUUUACAAUAUCCAGGAAGUGCCCUUCAUCACAGACGCUGAAGUUUGACUGUGGCCUUAUGCGGUACAUUGUACUGACAUAUUUUCUCAUGGGAACUGUUGGGCUAGUUCAGGCAAGUAUCUGCAAUGCUUAAACAGACAGUUUCAGGCUGGAGAAUUUAAGAGACAACCAAAUAGAGUUUUAAUGCCCUGUAAGAUAAUAACGAAAGACAUUUAUGAAAAAAAAAAUUCCAGUUAGUUUGAAAGCCAGGGCCCGCACUCCAUAUUUUGACAGCAGAUGGAUGGCUAGCUUGACUGAUCCUGGUUUACUUUCUGACUUGAAUUUGUCCCCUAGUCCAGUGAAAUCAUAAGGGCUCCCUUCAAUCUGGUUAAUGUUCAGAACCAAUGUUUGAGUUUUAGACUAAUUAAGGGGCAACCACUGACAUUUUUUCUAUAAUGUGAAGACUGGUGCCAGCAGUAACUCAGUGAGAUUUAACAUAAAAGCCAGAUAAAACAAUUAAAGUGGAAGAAUAUUUGAUUAAGUGGAUCACUGAUUUAUAGUGAGGUAAAUUGAAAUUGAAAGGAGAGUGAACUUUUUAUGGCAAUCAUAUAUUACGUUCAUUAUCAGAGACUCUGGAUCCUUUGUGCUUUUGUGAUUUAAAAAGAAAUAAACCAGUUUAAGGAGAGUCAUCCUGGC